RNAcentral lists this ribosomal RNA (429 nucleotides) under uncultured bacterium. RNAcentral describes it as "bacterial SSU rRNA". It matches the Rfam family "Bacterial small subunit ribosomal RNA", at positions 918 to 1341 of the family's 1533-position model. The record is from RNAcentral.
GGCCCGCACAAGCGGUGGAGUAUGUGGUUUAAUUCGACGCAACGCGCAGAACCUUACCCAGGCUUGACAUCCUCGGAACCUGAUGGAAACAUCGGGGUGUCCCCUCACGGGGAAGCCGAGUGACAGGUGCUGCAUGGCUGUCGUCAGCUCGUGUCGUGAGAUGUUCGGUUAAGUCCGGCAACGAGCGCAACCCCUGUCGUUAGUUGCCAUCAAUUCGGUUGGGCACUCUAGCGAGACUCCCGGUGUUAAGCCGGCGGAAGAUGGGGAUGACGUCAAGUCCUCAUGGCCCUUAUGUCUGGGGCUACACACGUACUACAAUGGCAUUUACAGAGGGCAGCAAUACGGCAACGUGGAGCCAAUCCCAAAAAGAAUGCCUCAGUUCGGAUUGGAGUCUGCAACUCGACUCCAUGAAGUUGGAAUCGCUAGUAA